This 389-nucleotide ribosomal RNA is filed under the name uncultured bacterium. RNAcentral's name for it is "partial 16S ribosomal RNA". It matches the Rfam family "Bacterial small subunit ribosomal RNA", at positions 523 to 918 of the family's 1533-position model. The record is from RNAcentral.
AUACGUAGGUGACAAGCGUUAUCCGGAUUUACUGGGCGUAAAGGGCGUGUAGGCGGUCUUGCAAGUCAGAAGUGAAAUUCCUGAGCUCAACUCGGGCGCUGCUUCUGAAACUGCAGGACUUGAGUGCUGGAGGGGAUAGCGGAAUUCCUAGUGGAGCGGUAAAAUGCGCAGAUAUUAGGAAGAACACCGGUGGGGAAGGCGGUUAACUGGACAGUAACUGACGCGGAGGCGCGAAAGCGUGGGGGGCAAAAAGGAUUAGAUACCCUAGUAGUCCACGCCGUAAACGAUGAUGACUAACUAUAGCCGUGAGGCUGUGGUGAAGCUAACGCAUUAGGUCAUCCGCCUGGGGAGUACGGUCGCAAGACUGAAACUUAAAGGAAUUGACGGGG